GAGAAGCGAAGCGGUGACGUGGAGCAAACCUCAGAAAGCCAAUCUCAGUUCGGAUUGUAGGCCGCAACUCGCCUACAUGAAGUUGGAAUCGCUAGUAAUCGCGAAUCAGAAUGUCGCGGUGAAUACGUUCCCGGGUCUUGUACACACCGCCCGUCACACCACGAGAGUUUACAACACCCGAAGUCAGUGGCCUAACCGCAAGGAGGGAGCUGCCUAAGGUGGGGUAGAUGAUUGGGGUGAAGUCGUAACAAGGUAUC
This 257-nucleotide ribosomal RNA is filed under the name uncultured bacterium. RNAcentral's name for it is "partial 16S ribosomal RNA". It matches the Rfam family "Bacterial small subunit ribosomal RNA", at positions 1244 to 1500 of the family's 1533-position model. The record is from RNAcentral.